Molecule: ribosomal RNA, 253 nt
Filed under: uncultured bacterium
Lineage: Bacteria
Description: partial 16S ribosomal RNA
Rfam family: Bacterial small subunit ribosomal RNA
Source: RNAcentral
UACGAAGGGGGCUAGCGUUGCUCGGAAUCACUGGGCGUAAAGCGCACGUAGGCGGAUCUUUAAGUCAGAGGUGAAAUCCCAAGGCUCAACCUUGGAACUGCCUUUGAUACUGAGGAUCUUGAGUUCGGGAGAGGUGAGUGGAACUGCGAGUGUAGAGGUGAAAUUCGUAGAUAUUCGCAAGAACACCAGUGGCGAAGGCGGCUCACUGGCCCGAUACUGACGCUGAGGCACGAAAGCGUGGGGAGCGAACAGG